This 1128-nucleotide long non-coding RNA is filed under the name Sparus aurata (gilthead seabream). RNAcentral describes it as "lncRNA (ENSSAUG00010027260.1)". Lineage: Eukaryota; Metazoa; Chordata; Actinopteri; Spariformes; Sparidae. The record is from RNAcentral.
GCUGAAAGGUAAUAUUUUCACACGUUAUCUUUAUUUCUACUUGAUAAUAUGACUUCUGAGUAAAGUUUGGUCGACAAACAGCAGGUGGCGAUAUUGUUCAACUGUGGAAGUAAACAGUGACAACAACAAAGACCAACAACACAAAUGUCUGGUAACACUUUAUCACACACGUUCACCAUUAACUAGUUUAUUGUUAGUAAUGUAUACAUGUCAGCAGCAUUAUGGCUCUUUAUUAGUGAUUAAAAAGCGCUUAUUAAUGUUUUAUUCUUCUUGAACACAUUCUGCACCUGCUGGACAAUAAGAACAGGAAGUGAGGAAGUUGUAUGAACAGAACUUCAUGGAUUUGGUCUCUUCUUAUGUGACGAGACACAAACAUACCAAAAGUGUGAAUAGUGUGUAAAUAACUAAUAAAACAAAUCUGUUUAACUCACAAUAUGUUCUCAAUUCUAGCAAGAAGUCUGAAGCUGUUCGGUGUCAAACAAGAAAUGAACCAUGACUGCUGUUGAAAUCUGACGUGACUCAGACGAGGAGAUGCUUUAGUUUUAUUUACGUCGUGUUUCAUCUCGUUCUCCGACUUCCUCCCUCGCUCUCUGACUCUCCUGGAAGUUACAGUGACAGUCGACCGGAUGAAAAUCACAGUGACCUCGAGGAAACUUGUGGAUGUUGGAAACAUUUGGGAUAAUGUAGUUAAAGUUCCACAACUCAACGAAUUAUGGAACAAAGUUUUUCAACACUUUAACGUAGAAUUCUGACAUAAUAUCUAUCUAACAGGAGGAUCUCAGAGCUGCUGCGUGUCAGAUUGAAUCCCUCCGGCUCUUUCUGAUGUCACCACUCGGCCUGCUGAAGGUCAGAGGUCAACCACGGGCCUGGACUGAAGGAUCAUGGGGGAUUCACAAGGACUGCUUUGUUUUCUGUGUUCAACUUACAUCUGUUGUUCCUCUGAUUGGCUGCAUGUUUCAGGUUUUUACAGCUUUUUCAGAGUCAAUGUGCAGGUUUUCUUUUUGUAUAUUGUCACUUUGUUUGUUUGACCAGCUGUUCAUCUUAUCUCAGAUGUUUUGUUUUGAUCAGGGGUUUUUCAUUCUUUCUAAAUUAAAAACAAAUAUGUCCACGUUUCAUUUCAAAUAUUAG